AGUUGAUCUGGCUCAGGAUGAACGCUAGCGGCAGGCUUAACACAUGCAAGCGAGGGCAUCGGGAGUAGCAAUACUGCCGGCGACCGGCGCAAGGGUGCGUAACGCGUGAGCAACAUGCCCGUAUCAGGGGGAUAAUCCAUGGAAACGUGGUCUAAUACCCCAUAGUAAUUAUGUAAGGCAUCUUAUAUAAUUUAAAGCUUUGGUGGAUACGGAUUGGCUCGCGUGACAUUAGCUAGAUGGUAAGGUAACGGCUUACCAUGGCUACGAUGUCUAGGGGUUCUGAGAGGAAGGCCCCCCACACUGGAACUGAGACACGGUCCAGACUCCUACGGGAGGCAGCAGUGAGGAAUAUUGGACAAUGGAUGGAAAUCUGAUCCAGCCAUGCCGCGUGCAGGAAGACGGCCCUAUGGGUUGUAAACUGCUUUUGUAUGGGAGCAAUAAGGGCUACGCGUAGUCCGAUGAGAGUACCAUACGAAUAAGCACCGGCUAACUCCGUGCCAGCCGCGGC
RNAcentral lists this ribosomal RNA (508 nucleotides) under uncultured bacterium. Its description in RNAcentral is "bacterial SSU rRNA". It matches the Rfam family "Bacterial small subunit ribosomal RNA", at positions 10 to 518 of the family's 1533-position model. The record is from RNAcentral.